RNAcentral lists this ribosomal RNA (244 nucleotides) under uncultured bacterium. RNAcentral describes it as "partial 16S ribosomal RNA". It matches the Rfam family "Bacterial small subunit ribosomal RNA", at positions 337 to 596 of the family's 1533-position model. The record is from RNAcentral.
UCCUACGGGGCGCAGCAGUGGGGAAUAUUGGGCAAUGGGCGAAAGCCUGACCCAGCAACGCCGCGUGAAGGAAGAAGGCUUUCGGGUUGUAAACUUCUUUUGACAGGGAAGAGCAGAAGACGGUACCUGUCGAAUAAGCCACGGCUAACUACGUGCCAGCAGCCGCGGUAAUACGUAGGUGGCAAGCGUUGUCCGGAUUUACUGGGUGUAAAGGGCGUGUAGCCGGGCUGACAAGUCAGAUGUG